AGUUCUCUGCCACAAGACCUGAAACAGUUAAAAAUACUCGGUGCUUGGUUUUCAUCCCCCUUACGUUUCUCUGUCUUACCCAAAUGCAACUGCAACCAUCACCCCCCUAAUUUACGGAGGGUAAGUGCUACCUAGAAUUAGGAUCAGCGUCUGAUUGCAUAACGCCCCAAUCAGUGUAAUUACUUGGUAGAGCAAAGAUUAAUGGGAGUGGAAGUAGAGAUUUGCUGCAAAAGUGAUGUUUGGGGUGCCCCAGCUCGCUGGCUGUCCCUGGGCAGGGCUGUGGUGUGCCCCAGGUUCCUGCAAGCUCGGCAGGCGCAGGGAUGCGCGUGGGUGCGGUGGCACCAGGGAGGGCACCCGGGGUUCGUCUCGUGCUCAGCACACAACUUCGGCAUCCAGCCCCCUCUGCGAGCCUGCCGUCUGGGUAAGGCGAGGCACUGAAGUGGUUGCAUCUGUUCUUGGGGUAGAACUGAAGGCAGUUUGUGCCUCUGCUGCCAUGGCAUUAGAGUGGCAAGCACUGUAGUCAGUUAUCUAAGCUCCUCAAGUAUUUGCCUAGAAUGAGUACGGAUAGAAGUGUCUGCGGGUAGCUGGACUGCUGCCACCUCGCACAAAGUGUGCUUGCUUGCCUCGCUGGCUGUGUCGUGGUUUAUGAGGCCGGCCGACGGGGCGCCGCCGUGGGCUGCUGCGCCUGCGGUGAGCGGCAGCAGCGGGUCUUGCUCGUGGGGAUGUGUUUGUAGAGCUGUGGAGAUCCCGGGCUCUCCCGAGGACGGGAGUUUCGGAUGGGGCUGUCCAUGCAGGCAGUGCACAAACAAACUUUGCAGCCGUGUGAUCCCUUUUUGCUUUCGAUCAUGCUUCCCAGAUGAAGGAGGUCUCGGCUGCGAAGCGGGCCAUUUGUCCGGCACCGCUGCAUUGAUCCCUGCCCCGCAGUUACGCGUGAGGAAUUUCUUUGCUUUUGAGAAUUGACUGAACUGAACUGGGCCACAUUUGUGAAUCCCCUUCUGCCAGAGAGCAAGUGCCUGAAGUGCUUUUUGUCUUCGCUUCUGUCGAUUCGUAAGGAAAGGUCAUCAUUAUUUAAGGUCUCUUGAUGCUCACGAAGCUCCUGAGAGCGCCUGCUGGGUGUCAGCCUGGAGCAGGCAGCGCUCAGAUGUCCAGGCUGUUCCCUGCGUUUGUAGGAUGGGGAGUGCACGAACCCACCAAGAGGGAGCACCCUGCCGGCGGAGCUGCCAUGGGGUGCGCCAGCCUUUGGCUUGGACAUACUUAGCCUCAAUGAGUCCCAGACAUGAGCAAAGACUCGUGUUUGAGCUCAAACAUUUAGACCUGGUCAACUUGCUCUUCCUUUCCUAUACUUUUUAAUGAUUGUGGAGCUGUAUCUGUUGGCUUACCUGGUGACUUCUGGUGGAACAAGCGUUAUUCCUGUGUUUUUCUCAUAUUCAUUUGAAAGUGAGAGGUGACAACAACAUGAGAGAGUUCAUUUUCACAGUAUCUUUUGCUUUUGAGGUCAUCCAGUUAGAGUGCCAGCGGAGGUCGGCUGCAUGGCUCAACGCGCCUCGUCUCCUACGUCCCGCACCGAGCCCUGCCGUGUGCGGGCAUCAGGCAGGUGCUGCCCAGCUCCCGGGUGGGCAUCAAACCAUAAGCAGCAUCAAAGAUGGGCCUUAUUAAAAUAAGGGUUCUUCUCUAAAUCGUCUGGUAAUAAGAGUGGAAACUUUCAGCAGGUAAGUAGCUGAAUUUCUGCAGAACCUGGAGCUGGCGAGCAGUUCUGUGCCGGCUCUCCCAGACCGUGCCUUCCCAUCAGCUCCUCCCUUGCAAAGAUGCCGAGCAGUAAGUAGCUUCAAUUUUUAUUUCAUUUCUGAAGUGCGCUUUCCAGAUUUUAUUGGAAAAUAACAAAUUUGCCCCUUCCUUUCAUUACCAGAUAAGCAGUCUGAGUAACUCAGCUGGGUCUCUUUUGCAGUAAUGAAACCUCCCAUUUUUCUUGUUUUUUUUUCUUCCUAUUUCAAUAUUGUCGUCUUUGUUUUUUGAGGCAGUAACUUUUACGGAACAACAAACAGAACCACAGUGACACAUUAAAAUGGAAACGGGUGAACACUAUGAUCUGUGAAGCAGAAACAAGCUGUUUUUAUCUUUUAGCAUACAAACAAAUGUUUCAGGCAAUUGGUCACUAACCUGAGUUUUAGUCUUACUUUAAGCUUUGCGAAAACAUGUAGAAUUCAUUCAUCUGAUCAAAAUGGUUAUAGUGGCUAUCUCUAUGCUUUGUUAGAAUUGGUGAGCUGGAUCCAGACAGAAAAGCAAGAGAUUUUUUUCUGUGGAGGCAUGUACGUGGAAGUGAAAUCUCAGUAUUUCAAGCCAGUGAAUAAUGCUAAAGAACUUGAUGAUAGCAGAAAAAAUGAGGAGUAUUGUCAUCUCUCUUGUGAAGCCAAACCAAUAACCUGUGUGUCACCCCGUUCAGUUCCCAAAUGAGCAAUAUCCCUUCAUCUAUAAUCAGCCUUUAAAAAUCAUUCCCAGCUAAUUUCGUGCUAUGACCCUGUUGUGAACUACUUGUGAGUGAGGCCCAGGGAUGGCUAGCGGCUCUGCCUUUUCUGCCAGUGACAUCUACAUGGAAGACUUGCCCAGAGCCAACCGCGGAGCCACAGACGGCUGCGUGCAGCCACCCCUGGGGACGUGCACAUCUGCAGCUGUGCCUCAAGUGGAGGGAGCAGCACGUGGAAAAGUCUACGGGCAGCGCCGGCACAAUUUGUCUGAACAGGAGUGUGCGGAGCCUGCACAGGCAAGCCUGAAUUUGUGCAGGAGAUGGAGCAUACACCAGAGGUGUUAGAUGGGUUUAGCCCAAAGCUGUGAAGAUCCUCUCCUUAAUUACAGAGCAGUGAAGGCAGGAGCAAUGAAGAUGUGCUUCUGCCCUUGGAAGGUGUUUCACAGGAGGACAGCUCCUGCGGAAGAGCUCUUUCAUGUGGCAGGCUGAGCCAGAUGGCUUAGCAGCACGGGAUAUUCAUCACUGGGAUGAAAUACCAUGCCCAAGCUAUGGAUUUCUCUGUUUUCUAAGCAGGGCUGUAUGCUCCUCUGGGACACACGCAUGUGGCCCAACUUCAAGUCAGCGGGUUAAACGGAGACGAGUGACGUUCUGCAGCUGGUGCUGCACAAGGGCCAGGAAGUUGUGUUGACCAUGCAAUGGUCUACCCUUGGAAAUCUGGCACGUACUGCUUUUUCAGGGUAAAUAGCCUGGUCUCUCUCCAUGUUUUGGCUCCAGCCUGGAUAGCCUGCCGUCGAGAGACUCAGCACUCCCUCACUGAGAGAAAAAGCCUAAAACCACUACCUGGUGAAGAUUGCCAUAACAGUAGUGUUACAACUGUUUUGACAGUGAUUGCAGGGAGGUGAUGAUAUUUGAGAACAUGAGUCAAAUUUCCCAACACUGUGAAUAUAUUUUUCCAUGGAACUUUAUCUGGCUUGAUAAUGGGUGAUUAUUUUCUUAGCAGGUAUCUUUGCUUCAGGAAGAAAUUGGUUUUGUAAAACUCAUCUACUGAAUAUAUCUCAUUCCCAAAGCAUAGCAGUAAGAGUGCUUUGAAGCAAAGGUAGAAAAUAACUCUGUGAGCAGAUCUGGACGUGCACUUAGAGAGGUCUGAGGAAAAAAAAGCCAGCUCAGGUGUACUGCUGGAUGAAUCCAUUUCUAUCUCGUGUAAUUAUUUUGGUGUAAUUGUAGUAAACAAAUUUGGAAAAAUAUACUGCUGGCCCUGUAGAAAGUGGCUGCUAGGAGGUGGAUUUGUGACUUGCUCCCCUCCUGUCCUGGCCCUGCUGCAAGCAGCAGCGGGUGCAUGGCGUGGGGCUCCUGCUGGGCUCCCCCUGUAACCCUGUGCAGUUACCUUGGGUUUUUGUGCAGCCCACCAAACCAUGCCUGGUCGUUUUCUUUUGUCAUCAGCUCGGAGGAAAGCGUUUAGCGUUUUAAUAUCUCAUUAAAUUCUUAAACCCUAACAAAAUUAAUGCCAGUGAACACUGGAAGUAAUGAAACUGCCAGAAGAGACGUGGAGUUAUUUAAAAAAGCAGCAGUAAUAGAUUAGAUUUAGCCGUCCUUCCAUAAAAUAAAAAGCAAUGAAUUACAGCA
This is a long non-coding RNA of Anser brachyrhynchus (Pink-footed goose), 4084 nucleotides long. The record is from Ensembl. Lineage: Eukaryota; Metazoa; Chordata; Aves; Anseriformes; Anatidae.